ACGCUAGCGGGAGGCCUAAUACAUGCAAGUCGAACGGCAGCAGCGGAGCUUGCUCCGGCUGGCGAGUGGCGCACGGGUGAGUAACGCGUACGCAACCUGCCCCUAACUGGGGGAAAGUCACGGGAAACUGUGAAUAAUCCCGCAUGUGUUCUGGUUGGCGCAUGCUGGUUGGAAUAAAGCUGAGGCGGUUAGGGAUGGGCGUGCGUCUGAUUAGCUAGUUGGUGGGGUAACGGCCCACCAAGGCGAUGAUCAGUAGGGGGCGUGAGAGCGUGAUCCCCCACACGGGUACUGAGACACGGACCCGACUUCUACGGAAGGCAGCAGUAGGGAAUAUUGGACAAUGGGCGCAAGCCUGAUCCAGCCAUCCCGCGUGCAGGAAGAAGGCCCUCAGGGUUGUAAACUGCUUUUGUCAGGGAAGAAACCCCGUGAUUGAUCAUGGGCUGACGGUACCUGACGAAUAAGCACCGGCUAACUCCGUGCCAGCAGCCGCGGUAAUACGGAGGGUGCGAGCGUUAUCCGGAAUCACUGGGUUUAAAGGGUGCGUAGGCGGCCUGGUAAGUCAGGGGUGAAAGUCUGCCGCUUAACGGUAGAAUUGCCUUUGAUACUGUCAGGCUUGAAUGGGCGCGAGGCAGGCGGAAUGUGGCAUGUAGCGGUGAAAUGCAUAGAUAUGCCAUAGAACACCGAUUGCGAAGGCAGCUUGCCAGAGCUCGAUUGACGCUGAGGCACGAAAGCGUGGGGAGCAAACAGGAUUAGAUACCCUGGUAGUCCACGCCCUAAACGAUGCUUACUCGAUGUUCGGC
RNAcentral lists this ribosomal RNA (800 nucleotides) under uncultured bacterium. Its description in RNAcentral is "bacterial SSU rRNA". It matches the Rfam family "Bacterial small subunit ribosomal RNA", at positions 33 to 828 of the family's 1533-position model. The record is from RNAcentral.